CCUUUCUAGCGAUCGUGCUCACUUCUAGCGUAGAAUCGCGCGCUUUAGUUCAAAAGAACCCUUAGAACGCAUUGUAAUACGCCUCAGCCGUAGUAACUUCUAAUCGUGCGUCACGCGAAAAUCCGUUUCAGGCUAAUUACUUCCAGUGCAGUGUUUGUUUAUCCCCGGUUUAUGUGACUCCAGGAUUCAGAUUGAAGUCUUGAUUAAGCGAAUCCUGACGAGCAUCGACGCGUCGUUUUUUUUUGUUUCUCCUAAGUUCCGUAGUGUUUGCACUCUUCCUGUGUCCAAAUUUCACUUCGCCACUAAACUUGCGUUCAGUUAAGUUUGCCAACUUUAAGUUGUGUUUUUUUUCGGCUUAUCCUCAAGUGCUAAAAAGUGUGUCCAUAAAAGUGUGUUUACCGCAGUCGUGGUCGAUCCCCAAGUGUCAGAAUCCUGCUGCCAUUCGUCGUUCGAUACUGAUGUAAAUACCAGUGAUGAUGUCAUCCGAUGUCCCAUUGUUCCCGACCGGGGAAGUUGUUGUCAGCUACCACUAAAAAAAGCUCGCCAAACAUCAUCGUCAUCGAAUAUUAAUCAACGGCACAUGGUUUUGGGACAGUGUAAUUCACUCACUUAAUCUGCAAACCAGGUGAAGGAAGAAGAAAAAAAAGUGUUUUAAAAAAAUCAACACAUCGGAGAGACCGGACCAACAAUCGGACCAGCAACAACACCACCAUGAUAAGAGUAAACUCACAAUCGUUCAGUUUGUCCAGCACGCUGAAAAAGAAGAACAACCAUGAGGACGAGCAGCAGAUUAUCAACAAAUAUAAUUCG
Molecule: long non-coding RNA, 810 nt
Organism: Uranotaenia lowii
Lineage: Eukaryota; Metazoa; Arthropoda; Insecta; Diptera; Culicidae
Exons: 3
Source: RefSeq, a predicted model, not a curated record